This 68-nucleotide transfer RNA is filed under the name Phyllophorella liuwutiensis. RNAcentral's name for it is "tRNA-Ile". It matches the Rfam family "tRNA". From Rfam's summary of the family: Transfer RNA (tRNA) molecules are approximately 80 nucleotides in length. Their secondary structure includes four short double-helical elements and three loops (D, anti-codon, and T loops). The record is from RNAcentral. Lineage: Eukaryota; Metazoa; Echinodermata; Holothuroidea; Dendrochirotida; Phyllophoridae.
GGGUUUAAUCCUAGUAGGAAUAUCUAACCGAUAAUUAGAUCUCAGAGGUUAAAUUCCUCUUAAACCCU